UGCAUAUACUAACGGAUGCGAUC
RNAcentral lists this non-coding RNA (23 nucleotides) under Arabidopsis thaliana (thale cress). Lineage: Eukaryota; Viridiplantae; Streptophyta; Magnoliopsida; Brassicales; Brassicaceae. The record is from RNAcentral.